Molecule: ribosomal RNA, 744 nt
Filed under: uncultured bacterium
Lineage: Bacteria
Description: bacterial SSU rRNA
Rfam family: Bacterial small subunit ribosomal RNA
Source: RNAcentral
AGAGUUUGAUCAUGGCUCAGAGCGAACGCUGGCGGCAGGCUUAACACAUGCAAGUCGAGCGGGCGUAGCAAUACGUCAGCGGCAGACGGGUGAGUAACGCGUGGGAACAUACCUUUUGGUUCGGAACAACCCAGGGAAACUUGGGCUAAUACCGGAUAAGCCCUUACGGGGAAAGAUUUAUCGCCGAAAGAUUGGCCCGCGUCUGAUUAGCUAGUUGGUGAGGUAACGGCUCACCAAGGCGACGAUCAGUAGCUGGUCUGAGAGGAUGAUCAGCCACAUUGGGACUGAGACACGGCCCAAACUCCUACGGGAGGCAGCAGUGGGGAAUAUUGGACAAUGGGCGCAAGCCUGAUCCAGCCAUGCCGCGUGAGUGAUGAAGGCCCUAGGGUUGUAAAGCUCUUUUGUGCGGGAAGAUAAUGACGGUACCGCAAGAAUAAGCCCCGGCUAACUUCGUGCCAGCAGCCGCGGUAAUACGAAGGGGGCUAGCGUUGCUCGGAAUCACUGGGCGUAAAGGGUGCGUAGGCGGGUCUUUAAGUCAGGGGUGAAAUCCUGGAGCUCAACUCCAGAACUGCCUUUGAUACUGAAGAUCUUGAGUUCGGGAGAGGUGAGUGGAACUGCGAGUGUAGAGGUGAAAUUCGUAGAUAUUCGCAAGAACACCAGUGGCGAAGGCGGCUCACUGGCCCGAUACUGACGCUGAGGCACGAAAGCGUGGGGAGCAAACAGGAUUAGAUACCCUAGUAGUCC